GAGCUGCUUUACUUGGCCCUGCCACUCCAGUGAGCUGCUUGAAGAGUGUUAAAAUAAUGGCAGCUGCCAAGCUCUGGAAGGCUGCAGUGCUAGCCAGGGGUCCUGGCCCCCACGCUGCUGUUUACUCAAACUGCUGAGCCUCUCCUGGUGUUUGCGACUGUUUACUGGACAGAAGGGCACAAGACGGCUGGGCCUUUCUCCGGCCUCCAGCUUUCACAGGCAUUUCCUUUGGAGAAAACUAGCCUGAGAGCAGCUCACUCUAGGAACAACUUCAACGAGAUUCCUUGGAGGUUGAUAUCAAAACGUACUUGGAAACUGCAAUCAAAAAAACAGUUUGAUAUAAGAAGAAAUGAACAGAAUCGAAGAAAAAUCAGAAAUACACUCAGAAGUCUACGGAAUUUAGUUUACUGUAAACGUGAGAUUUCUGAUCACAUGGCAAAAGAGAGGUUCUCUAAGCAGUGGUUCUCAGAGUGUGGCUCCUGGAUCAACAGCAAUAAUAUUAUCUGGAAGUUCCUCAGAAAUGCAAAUACCUCAGCCUACCCCACCCUGAUGGAAUCAGAAAUCUAGGUAGGA
Long non-coding RNA from Tupaia belangeri chinensis (Chinese tree shrew), 573 nucleotides. RefSeq lists it as uncharacterized. The transcript is spliced from 3 exons. The record is from RefSeq and is a predicted model, not a curated record. Lineage: Eukaryota; Metazoa; Chordata; Mammalia; Scandentia; Tupaiidae.